RNAcentral lists this ribosomal RNA (426 nucleotides) under uncultured Methylococcaceae bacterium. Its description in RNAcentral is "partial 16S ribosomal RNA". It matches the Rfam family "Bacterial small subunit ribosomal RNA", at positions 355 to 774 of the family's 1533-position model. Lineage: Bacteria; Pseudomonadati; Pseudomonadota; Gammaproteobacteria; Methylococcales; Methylococcaceae. The record is from RNAcentral.
UGGGGAAUAUUGGACAAUGGGCGAAAGCCUGAUCCAGCAAUACCGCGUGUGUGAAGAAGGCCUUAGGGUUGUAAAGCACUUUCAAUAGGGAGGAAAAAGAGUAAGCUAAUACCUUGCUUAUUGACAUUACCUAUACAAGAAGCACCGGCUAACUCCGUGCCAGCAGCCGCGGUAAUACGGAGGGUGCAAGCGUUAAUCGGAAUUACUGGGCGUAAAGAGUGCGUAGGCGGCACGUUAAGUCAGAUGUGAAAGCCCUGGGCUCAACCUGGGAACUGCAUUUGAAACUGGCGAGCUCGAGUUGAGUAGAGGUAAGUGGAAUUUCAGGUGUAGCGGUGAAAUGCGUAGAUAUCUGAAGGAACACCAGUGGCGAAGGCGACUUACUGGACUCAAACUGACGCUGAGGUACGAAAGCGUGGGUAGCAAACA